Molecule: ribosomal RNA, 448 nt
Filed under: uncultured soil bacterium
Lineage: Bacteria
Description: bacterial SSU rRNA
Rfam family: Bacterial small subunit ribosomal RNA
Source: RNAcentral
AGAACGAACGCUGGCGGCAUGCCUAAUACAUGCAAGUCGAACGAGACCUUCGGGUCUAGUGGCGCACGGGUGCGUAACGCGUGGGAAUCUACCCUUGGGUUCGGGAUAAGCACUGGAAACGGUGUCUAAUACCGGAUACGAGCUUCAGCCGCAUGGCUAGGAGCUGGAAAGAAUUUCGGUCUGGGAUGGGACUCGCGGCCUAUCAGGUAGUUGGUGAGGUAAAGGCUCACCAAGCCGACGACGGGUAGCCGGCCUGAGAGGGUGACCGGCCACACUGGGACUGAGACACGGCCCAGACUCCUACGGGAGGCAGCAGUCGGGGAAUAUGCGACAAGUGGGCGAAAGCCUGAUGCAGCAACGCGCGUGACGGGACGAAGGCCUUCGGUGUUAAACCGCUUUUUAGAGGGAAGAAGCGAAAGUGACGGUACUGCAGAAAAAGCACGCUAAC